Molecule: long non-coding RNA, 264 nt
Filed under: Oryza sativa tropical japonica subgroup
Lineage: Eukaryota; Viridiplantae; Streptophyta; Magnoliopsida; Poales; Poaceae
Description: lncRNA OsAzu_06g0015700
Source: RNAcentral
GACUGCUCCCGAAGAAGCCAAGGUUGUUCCCCGCCGCCGCCGCCGCACUCCACUACGGCCUACCCCCAUCGCCACCGAGGUGGUUUCCCCCUUCCUCCGAAGCCUCGCCCGGGACUGCCCCCGACGACGCCGGGGUGGGAUGGCAGCACCUCUUGCCACAAGGUUUGGAGGAGAACAGCAAGCAGAUGCACCAAAGGGGGCUCAAAUCUGAGGAAUGAUGCGACAAAAAUGAGCUUGCUGGACAAGAAUCCUGGUAGGAUAUGA